UAUGGCCAUAUCACAGUGAAACCCCAGUUCUUAUCUGAUCACUGAAGUUAAGCAACAUUGAGCUCAGUAAGCAUCUAGACGGGUGACUGUUCAGGAAUAUCAAGUGCUGUAAG
Acanthosepion pharaonis is the source of this 113-nucleotide non-coding RNA. The record is from the annotation of a GenBank genome assembly. NCBI's taxonomy places the organism in Eukaryota, Metazoa, Mollusca, Cephalopoda, Sepiida, Sepiidae.